AAUACGCAUGGUGAAUUAUCAGACCUGCCCAUAAAGUUUCUUUGAGUGCUUUUGUGGUAUGUAUGAUUGAAGAUCUCCUUCUUAAAGCCAAACUGGGAUUUUUAACUGUGUCGGUGUUUACAGCAUGCUAUUUAUUUACUCUCCUGAGUUCACCAAUCAGAUGUAUCAGUGAAACUGUGUUAAUUACAUAAUGCAGUGUGUUAAUUGCAUAAUGUAGAAUAAUGUUAAUUACAUAAUACAGUGUGUUAAUUGCAUAAUGUAGAAUAAUGUUUCUGUGGCUCAACUACUCAAGGAUCUCUUCUAACACCAGGCUCAUAUGUUUGAUACGCAGGAGACAGACAUAUUGAUGAAAAUGUAUAUCUGUACUGUACUAUAAGUUACUUUGGAUACAAGUGUUUGCUAAAUGAAUAGAUGUAUAUUGGAGAGAUCUUGGAAAAAAUUGGUCAAAGUGAGGUAAAAUUGGCAGAAAACAUUCCAAACCCUUUUUUUGGUUUCAAAAUCAUUAAUUUAAUUGUAUUUAUUUCAUUGAUGGCACAUCGUCAUAACAUCAGAGGGAAAACACAACACGAGUGGCUAACCGCCUCCUAAACUAUCACUGGACUCAGUUUGGGUUUGACCUCCGACCUCCAGGGCAUGACCUCCCGGGUCCAGCUACACUGAGUUACCAAACACACCCCUCUCCUCCUGUGAUCUCUCUCUCUCCAGUGAGCAGAAAGCAGCAUCACUGCUAACUUCUCCUUCUCUCUCUCCCAUUCGUCUUAUUUUCCUAUGGCUGUUUCUCUCACUGUGCUACAAACUCAUGUCAUCCUCUCAUCACACUUUCUGCAAGAGGCGCUAACCAGGAAGUCUGCUCUACCUAACUGAGAAACUCACCUACUCACUCACGCUAAUUAAAGGCGCAAACACACACACACAGCUGUGCGGAGGCAACCGACAGAUUGCUGUUGACAGAGUGAAUGAAACUAAACUAAACAGAACUACUUAAGUGCGUGUGGAUCGACCCAUAUGUGUACUGCUAUGUCAGCCCCUGAGGGUUGAUCCAGACAUCUGACUCUCAGGAUGGGGAUGUGGAAGGUAUGUGGAGGGUAUUGGGGGGGGUAUGGGGGAUAAGGUACAUACAUCAAGCAACGGCAUAAAAUAGCUGCUCUACCCGGAGCUGUGUAUAUGAGUGAAUAAGUGAGAGAGAGUUUGUGUUUGUGUCUGCGAAGGCCUCCAGGUGGCGCUGUGCUGUGAGGCAGCAGGUUUAGGAGGUCUUCUUGAAGACCUGCUUCGCCACCACACCUUCCACUCGCAGCUCCUGUUCAAAGACAAAGAAGGAACAUGAUCACUAUGGGUCAGUUCAACCAAUCAAAGACAUACUUAUAUAUACACAGGUCUUAUUACGGUGAUACCAUACGAAUUUGUUGUCAUUUAUUUACUAAUCAUGAAUACACAUUGUAUGCAUAGACCUCUGCAUAUGAGAUUGAUUACUACAGUGUACAGACACAAGGGUUAAGGUUAGGGAAAUGUUAGUAUUAUUACACAGCCUGGGUGGUCACACACAUCCGGGUGUACCUCUCUCAGCAUGAAAUAUUUUAAUACUGAAACGUGAGGAGAAUUUACCAUUUAUUACAAGGAGUGUUUGGAAUGAGCGUUACUGGCGGCUGAAUCGUCAAGUCAUGACAGGGAUUAAGAAACAAGGUGCAGUUUGUAUUAUUGCCUACAGGGGG
Molecule: long non-coding RNA, 1709 nt
Organism: Clupea harengus (Atlantic herring)
Lineage: Eukaryota; Metazoa; Chordata; Actinopteri; Clupeiformes; Clupeidae
Source: Ensembl